UGGGGGAUAUUGCACAAUGGGGGGAACCCUGAUGCAGCGACGCCGCGUGGGUGAAGAAGCACCUCGGCGCGUAAAGCCCUGUCAGCAGGGAAGAAAAUGACGGUACCUGAAGAAGAAGCCCCGGCUAACUACGUGCC
RNAcentral lists this ribosomal RNA (137 nucleotides) under uncultured bacterium. Its description in RNAcentral is "partial 16S ribosomal RNA". It matches the Rfam family "Bacterial small subunit ribosomal RNA", at positions 355 to 509 of the family's 1533-position model. The record is from RNAcentral.